ACGAACGCUGGCGGCGUGCUUAACACAUGCAAGUCGAACGGAAAGGCCCCUUUGGGGGUUCUCGAGUGGCGAACGGGUGAGUAACACGUGAGUAACCUGCCCUUGACUUCGGGAUAACUUCAGGAAACUGGGGCUAAUACCGGAUAGGAAUCCUUGCUGCAUGGUGGGGGUUGGAAAGCUUCGGCGGUUUUGGAUGGACUCGCGGCUUAUCAGCUUGUUGGUGGGGUAGUGGCUUACCAAGGCUUUGACGGGUAGCCGGCCUGAGAGGGCGACCGGCCACAUUGGGACUGAGAUACGGCCCAGACUCCUACGGGAGGCAGCAGUGGGGAAUAUUGCACAAUGGGCGGAAGCCUGAUGCAGCAACGCCGCGUGCGGGAUGACGGCCUUCGGGUUGUAAACCGCUUUCAGCAGGGGCGAAGCUUGUGGUGACGGUACCUGCAGAAGAAGCACCGGCUAACUACGUG
This 464-nucleotide ribosomal RNA is filed under the name uncultured bacterium. Its description in RNAcentral is "partial 16S ribosomal RNA". It matches the Rfam family "Bacterial small subunit ribosomal RNA", at positions 29 to 507 of the family's 1533-position model. The record is from RNAcentral.